Molecule: ribosomal RNA, 906 nt
Filed under: uncultured bacterium
Lineage: Bacteria
Description: bacterial SSU rRNA
Rfam family: Bacterial small subunit ribosomal RNA
Source: RNAcentral
GAGUUUGAUCAUGGCUCAGAUUGAACGCUGGCGGCAGGCCUAACACAUGCAAGUCGGACGGUAACAGGAUUAGCUUGCUAAUUGCUGACGAGUGGCGGACGGGUGAGUAAUACUUAGGGAUCUGCCUUUGUGAGGGGGAUAACCAUUGGAAACGAUGGCUAAUACCGCAUAAUGCCUACGGACCAAAGGGGGCUUUUAGCUCUCGCACGAAGAGGAACCUAAGCGAGAUUAGCUAGUUGGUGGGGUAAAGGCUCACCAAGGCGACGAUCUCUAGCUGUUCUGAGAGGAAGAUCAGCCACACUGGGACUGAGACACGGCCCAGACUCCUACGGGAGGCAGCAGUGGGGAAUAUUGCACAAUGAGGGAAACCCUGAUGCAGCCAUGCCGCGUGUGUGAAGAAGGCCUUCGGGUUGUAAAGCACUUUCAGUCGUGAGGAAAGGUUGGUAGUUAAUACCUGCCAACUAUGACGUUAGCGACAGAAGAAGCACCGGCUAACUCCGUGCCAGCAGCCGCGGUAAUACGGAGGGUGCGAGCGUUAAUCGGAAUUACUGGGCGUAAAGCGCACGCAGGCGGUUUGUUAAGCUAGAUGUGAAAGCCCCGGGCUCAACCUGGGAGGGUCAUUUAGAACUGGCAGACUAGAGUCUUGGAGAGGGGAGUGGAAUUCCAGGUGUAGCGGUGAAAUGCGUAGAGAUCUGGAGGAACAUCAGUGGCGAAGGCGACUCCCUGGCCAAAGACUGACGCUCAUGUGCGAAAGUGUGGGUAGCGAACAGGAUUAGAUACCCUGGUAGUCCACACCGUAAACGCUGUCUACUAGCUGUUUGUGUAUUUNAUACGUGAGUAGCGAAAGCUAACGCGCUUANNUANACCGCCUGGGGGAGUACGGCCNCANGGUUAAAACUCAAAUGA